This 760-nucleotide ribosomal RNA is filed under the name Virgibacillus sp. U0063. RNAcentral's name for it is "bacterial SSU rRNA". It matches the Rfam family "Bacterial small subunit ribosomal RNA", at positions 67 to 805 of the family's 1533-position model. The record is from RNAcentral. Lineage: Bacteria; Bacillati; Bacillota; Bacilli; Caryophanales; Bacillaceae.
CAGAUCCCCUUCGGGGGUGACGCUUGUGGAUCGAGCGGCGGACGGGUGAGUAACACGUGGGCAACCUGCCUGAGAGACUGGGAUAACCCCGGGAAACCGGGGCUAAUACCGGAUAAUACUUUUCUUUGCAUGAAGGGAAGUUGAAAGGCGGCCUUUGGCUGCCGCUCACAGAUGGGCCCGCGGCGCAUUAGCUAGUUGGUGAGGUAAAAGCUUACCAAGGCGACGAUGCGUAGCCGACCUGAGAGGGUGAUCGGCCACACUGGGACUGAGACACGGCCCAGACUCCUACGGGAGGCAGCAGUAGGGAAUCAUCCGCAAUGGACGAAAGUCUGACGGUGCAACGCCGCGUGAGUGAUGAAGGUUUUCGGAUCGUAAAGCUCUGUUGUGAGGGAAGAACAAGUGCCGUUUGAAUAAGGCGGCACCUUGACGGUACCUCACCAGAAAGCCCCGGCUAACUACGUGCCAGCAGCCGCGGUAAUACGUAGGGGGCAAGCGUUGUCCGGAAUUAUUGGGCGUAAAGCGCGCGCAGGCGGUCUUUUAAGUCUGAUGUGAAAGCCCACGGCUUAACCGUGGAGGGUCAUUGGAAACUGGAGGACUUGAGUGCAGAAGAGGAGAGUGGAAUUCCACGUGUAGCGGUGAAAUGCGUAGAGAUGUGGAGGAACACCAGUGGCGAAGGCGACUCUCUGGUCUGUAACUGACGCUGAGGUGCGAAAGCGUGGGGAGCGAACAGGAUUAGAUACCCUGGUAGUCCACGCCGUAA